Molecule: non-coding RNA, 271 nt
Organism: Pelobates cultripes (western spadefoot toad)
Lineage: Eukaryota; Metazoa; Chordata; Amphibia; Anura; Pelobatidae
Source: the annotation of a GenBank genome assembly
GGCAAAGUACAAUUACAUGCAUAUGGCAGUUAUAGAGAAAUAAAAUGCUGGUGUGUAGGAACAGGCAUAUAUAGGCAGCAUGGUCAAUUUACCCCUCCAGCUAUGUGUGGAAUAAAGUUCUGUGCAAGUAGGCAGGUCCGGAUCCUGGUACAAAGCCACAGAGAAAUUGAAGUUCGCUUGUGGAGGAAAUGUUACUGAAUGUCCACUGUACCCAAUAGCGAGAAGAUAACGGGAAUAGCCGUGCAGAUGCAGUCUAACCGUUUUCAUCUGU